Long non-coding RNA from Pseudophryne corroboree (corroboree frog), 786 nucleotides. RefSeq lists it as uncharacterized. The record is from RefSeq and is a predicted model, not a curated record. The transcript is spliced from 3 exons. Lineage: Eukaryota; Metazoa; Chordata; Amphibia; Anura; Myobatrachidae.
AGGCAGCUGGUGGAGCGCACAAUUGGGGUCCUUAAAGGGCGGUUUCGUGUGCUCCACCGCACUGGUGGCGACAUCAUGUAUUCGCCGGAGAUGGCAAGUAAAAUAGUGGUUCUGUGCGCAAUACUACACAAUAUCGCGGUAAGGAGUAGCGUAGAGCUUCCUCAGACAGAGGAAUUGCCUGAUGAGGAGCCAGGGGUUGUUCGACACUUCGGUGGGGGGAGUGUUACACGGAGGGGGAGCCAAGUCAGGGCAAGCAUUGUUGCUGAAUAUUUCAGCUGAAUGAUCACACAAACUGUGGACGAGAACAACGGCAGACCUCUCAGCCCCCUUCCCCUUCCCAGUCCCCCUCCCCUUCUCACUCCCCCUCCCCUUCGCAGUCCUCCUCAGCUUCCCAGUCCCCCUCAGCUACCCAGUCCCCCUCAGCUUCCCAGUCCCCCUCAGCUACCCAGUCCCCCUCAGCUUCCCAGUCCCCCUCAGCUUCCCAGUCCCCCUCAGCUUCCCAGGCCCACUCCACUUUCCACUCCCCUUCUCACACCACCUCUCUAUCUCUUUCUGUGACCCCUUCUCCUCCUUCCCAUACCCCUUCUCCUUCAACUUCAAACUCACCUUCUCAGCCCCCCUCACCCUCUAUUGGCUUAACUUUCUCUCCGCCCCCCUCGCCCUCUCAAUCAGACCCACCCUCUGAAAUUACAUCCCCAAUCCAGCCUCCUUCCCCCAUCCAGCCUCCUUCCCCCAUCCCUCCUCCUUCCCCAAUCCCUCCUCCUUCCCCAAUCCCUCCUCCUUCCC